This 497-nucleotide ribosomal RNA is filed under the name uncultured bacterium. Its description in RNAcentral is "partial 16S ribosomal RNA". It matches the Rfam family "Bacterial small subunit ribosomal RNA", at positions 28 to 507 of the family's 1533-position model. The record is from RNAcentral.
GAUGAACGCUGGCGGCGUGCCUAAUACAUGCAAGUCGAGCGAACAGACGAGGAGCUUGCUCCUCUGACGUUAGCGGCGGACGGGUGAGUAACACGUGGAUAACCUACCUAUAAGACUGGGAUAACUUCGGGAAACCGGAGCUAAUACCGGAUAAUAUAUUGAACCGCAUGGUUCAAUAGUUAAAGUCGGUUUUGCUGUCACUUAUAGAUGGAUCCGCGCCGCAUUAGCUAGUUGGUAAGGUAACGGCUUACCAAGGCAACGAUGCGUAGCCGACCUGAGAGGGUGAUCGGCCACACUGGAACUGAGACACGGUCCAGACUCCUACGGGAGGCAGCAGUAGGGAAUCUUCCGCAAUGGGCGAAAGCCUGACGGAGCAACGCCGCGUGAGUGAUGAAGGUCUUCGGAUCGUAAAACUCUGUUAUUAGGGAAGAACAAAUGUGUAAGUAACUAUGCACGUCUUGACGGUACCUAAUCAGAAAGCCACGGCUAACUACGUG